RNAcentral lists this non-coding RNA (112 nucleotides) under Sarcophilus harrisii (Tasmanian devil). RNAcentral's name for it is "Eukaryotic small subunit ribosomal RNA". It matches the Rfam family "Eukaryotic small subunit ribosomal RNA", at positions 77 to 470 of the family's 1831-position model. Lineage: Eukaryota; Metazoa; Chordata; Mammalia; Dasyuromorphia; Dasyuridae. The record is from Rfam by way of RNAcentral.
CGGAGGUAACCUUUGGAAGAUCACAUAUAUAGGGAGCCUGAGAAAGGGCUACCACAUCCAAGGAAGGCAGCAGGCGCGCAAAUUACCCACUCCCGACCCGGGGAGUUAGUGA